Molecule: long non-coding RNA, 845 nt
Organism: Mustela lutreola (European mink)
Lineage: Eukaryota; Metazoa; Chordata; Mammalia; Carnivora; Mustelidae
Exons: 3
Source: RefSeq, a predicted model, not a curated record
GCUGCCCUCUGGCUCUGAAGCCAGCCCAGGGACCCAGGACAGAGUCUACAACUGCCCUGGUUCUUGCAGAGACUUCCUGUCUGCAAGUGCACUUAUUUGAAGACAAAGACAAGUCUUGGUGCUUUAGCUAUCAUGUUUUAAGAAUAUUCCUUUUAUAAUGUGGAGGGGAAAUCAUCCUGUAGCCAUGCAGAGACCAAAGCCUCACACACCUGGGUCACCUAGACCUCUGAAGGGAGCUGGGGGUGGAAUCAGGUCACGGACUGACAUUUUCAAAGAUCAGAGCUCGUUGGAAUAGAGUUUUUCAAAACCUGCUUGGAUUUUCCAUCGUUCCAUCCUGCCGCCUCCAGCAAAUUUAUCGUGUGCAGAAAAGAAUGAGGCCCCAAAGGACCCGAGUCUGUUAGAAAGCUGAAGAGAGAAAAUUAGAGUUCUCAGAUCCUCAAAGGACUUGUAUUUGAGGUGAAUCAAAGGUAUUUGAGGUGAAUACUGUGGACAAAGCAUGUGAGUUGCUAGAGAUUUGGGUGAGGAUUCACUCACUUAGAGACAUGUCUCCCAGAAGCAGGGUUCCACCAUUUCCCCCAAAUCCUGUCAGCUUCCCCUUCAAGAAGUUUUCCAGUUUAACUCAACAAACAUUUCCUGAACAAAGUGCCUCGCCCAACUCCCUGAGGAUUCAACGUUAAACCCCCAUGUUCUCAGGGACCUUGACAAUGGAGUGGGGUUGAGAGGCCAGGCCUUCGACAGUUAGGUCAAGUGGACCUUUAAAUUAUACUUAAUAAUAAAAUAAUAAAUAAUAAAAUAAAUUUAAAGCAGAACUUUAAAUUAAAGCUGAAUCCAUUUGUCCAAAUAUA